This 487-nucleotide ribosomal RNA is filed under the name uncultured archaeon. Its description in RNAcentral is "bacterial SSU rRNA". It matches the Rfam family "Archaeal small subunit ribosomal RNA", at positions 378 to 866 of the family's 1478-position model. The record is from RNAcentral.
ACUCCAAGUGGCUGGGGUAAGACCCAGUCUUUUCAGAACUCUUCAAAGGUUUUAGAAAAAGGGGGGGGUAAGGACGGUGCCAGCCGCCGCGGUAAUACCGGCGCCUCAAGUGGUAGUCGCUUUUAUUGGGCCUAAAACGUCCGUAGCCGGUUUGGUACAUUCGUGGGUAAAUCAACUCGCUCAACGAGUUGAAUUCUGCGAGGACGGCCAGACUUGGGACCGGGAGAGGUGUGGGGUACUCUCAGGGUAGGGGUAAAAUCCUGUCAUCCUGAGAGGACCACCUGUUGCGAAGGCGCCACACUAGAACGGAUCCGACGGUCAGGGACGAAGCCUAGGGGCACGAACCGGAUUAGAUACCCGGGUAGUCCUAGGUGUAAACGCUGUGGACUUGAUGUUGGAGGAGCUCCGAGCUCUUUCAGUGUCGAAGCGAAGGUGAUAAGUCCACUGCCUGGGAAGUACGGUCGCAAGGCUGAAACUUAAAGGAAUU